AUUGAACGCUGGCGGCAGGCCUAACACAUGCAAGUCGAGCGGAUGAAGGGAGCUUGCUCCUGGAUUCAGCGGCGGACGGGUGAGUAAUGCCUAGGAAUCUGCCUGGUAGUGGGGGAUAACGUCCGGAAACGGGCGCUAAUACCGCAUACGUCCUGAGGGAGAAAGUGGGGGAUCUUCGGACCUCACGCUAUCAGAUGAGCCUAGGUCGGAUUAGCUAGUUGGUGGGGUAAAGGCCUACCAAGGCGACGAUCCGUAACUGGUCUGAGAGGAUGAUCAGGCACACUGGAACUGAGACACGGUCCAGACUCCUACGGGAGGCAGCAGUGGGGAAUAUUGGACAAUGGGCGAAGGCCUGAUCCAGCCAUGCCGCGUGUGUGAAGAAGGUCUUCGGAUUGUAAAGCACUUUAAGUUGGGAGGAAGGGCAGUAAGUUAAUACCUUGCUGUUUUGACGUUACCAACAGAAUAAGCACCGGCUAACUUCGUG
RNAcentral lists this ribosomal RNA (484 nucleotides) under uncultured bacterium. RNAcentral's name for it is "partial 16S ribosomal RNA". It matches the Rfam family "Bacterial small subunit ribosomal RNA", at positions 30 to 507 of the family's 1533-position model. The record is from RNAcentral.